AGCGAACGCUGGCGGCAGGCCUAACACAUGCAAGUCGAACGAACUCUUCGGAGUUAGUGGCGGACGGGUGAGUAACACGUGGGAACGUGCCUUUAGGUUCGGAAUAACUCAGGGAAACUUGUGCUAAUACCGAAUGUGCCCUUCGGGGGAAAGAUUUAUCGCCUUUAGAGCGGCCCGCGUCUGAUUAGCUAGUUGGUGAGGUAAAGGCUCACCAAGGCGACGAUCAGUAGCUGGUCUGAGAGGAUGAUCAGCCACAUUGGGACUGAGACACGGCCCAAACUCCUACGGGAGGCAGCAGUGGGGAAUCUUGCGCAAUGGGCGAAAGCCUGACGCAGCCCUGCCGCGUGAAUGAUGAAGGUCUUAGGAUUGUAAAAUUCUUUCACCGGGGACGAUAAUGACGGUACCCGGAGAAGAAGCCCCGGCUAACUUCGU
This 432-nucleotide ribosomal RNA is filed under the name uncultured bacterium. RNAcentral describes it as "partial 16S ribosomal RNA". It matches the Rfam family "Bacterial small subunit ribosomal RNA", at positions 29 to 506 of the family's 1533-position model. The record is from RNAcentral.